AGCGUACACGGUGGAUGCCCUGGCAGUCAGAGGCGAUGAAGGACGUGCUAAUCUGCGAUAAGCGUCGGUGAGGUGAUAUGAACCGUUAUAACCGGCGAUUUCCGAAUGGGGAAACCCAGUGUGAUUCGUCACACUAUCAUUAACUGAAUCCAUAGGUUAAUGAGGCGAACCGGGGGAACUGAAACAUCUAAGUACCCCGAGGAAAAGAAAUCAACCGAGAUUCCCCCAGUAGCGGCGAGCGAACGGGGAGGAGCCCAGAGCCUGAAUCAGUGUGUGUGUUAGUGGAAGCGUCUGGAAAGGCGCGCGAUACAGGGUGACAGCCCCGUACACAAAAAUGCACAUGCUGUGAGCUCGAUGAGUAGGGCGGGACACGUGGUAUCCUGUCUGAAUAUGGGGGGACCAUCCUCCAAGGCUAAAUACUCCUGACUGACCGAUAGUGAACCAGUACCGUGAGGGAAAGGCGAAAAGAACCCCGGCGAGGGGAGUGAAAAAGAACCUGAAACCGUGUACGUACAAGCAGUGGGAGCCUCUUAAUGGGGUGACUGCGUACCUUUUGUAUAAUGGGUCAGCGACUUAUAUUCUGUAGCAAGGUUAACCGAAUAGGGGAGCCGAAGGGAAACCGAGUCUUAACUGGGCGUUAAGUUGCAGGGUAUAGACCCGAAACCCGGUGAUCUAGCCAUGGGCAGGUUGAAGGUUGGGUAACACUAACUGGAGGACCGAACCGACUAAUGUUGAAAAAUUAGCGGAUGACUUGUGGCUGGGGGUGAAAGGCCAAUCAAACCGGGAGAUAGCUGGUUCUCCCCGAAAGCUAUUUAGGUAGCGCCUCGUGAAUUCAUCUCCGGGGGUAGAGCACUGUUUCGGCAAGGGGGUCAUCCCGACUUACCAACCCGAUGCAAACUGCGAAUACCGGAGAAUGUUAUCACGGGAGACACACGGCGGGUGCUAACGUCCGUCGUGAAGAGGGAAACAACCCAGACCGCCAGCUAAGGUCCCAAAGUCAUGGUUAAGUGGGAAACGAUGUGGGAAGGCCCAGACAGCCAGGAUGUUGGCUUAGAAGCAGCCAUCAUUUAAAGAAAGCGUAAUAGCUCACUGGUCGAGUCGGCCUGCGCGGAAGAUGUAACGGGGCUAAACCAUGCACCGAAGCUGCGGCAGCGACGCUUAUGCGUUGUUGGGUAGGGGAGCGUUCUGUAAGCCUGUGAAGGUGGCCUGUGAGGGUUGCUGGAGGUAUCAGAAGUGCGAAUGCUGACAUAAGUAACGAUAAAGCGGGUGAAAAGCCCGCUCGCCGGAAGACCAAGGGUUCCUGUCCAACGUUAAUCGGGGCAGGGUGAGUCGACCCCUAAGGCGAGGCCGAAAGGCGUAGUCGAUGGGAAACAGGUUAAUAUUCCUGUACUUGGUGUUACUGCGAAGGGGGGACGGAGAAGGCUAUGUUGGCCGGGCGACGGUUGUCCCGGUUUAAGCGUGUAGGCUGGUUUUCCAGGCAAAUCCGGAAAACCAAGGCUGAGGCGUGAUGACGAGGCACUACGGUGCUGAAGCGACAAAUGCCCUGCUUCCAGGAAAAGCCUCUAAGCAUCAGGUAACAUCAAAUCGUACCCCAAACCGACACAGGUGGUCAGGUAGAGAAUACCAAGGCGCUUGAGAGAACUCGGGUGAAGGAACUAGGCAAAAUGGUGCCGUAACUUCGGGAGAAGGCACGCUGAUAUGUAGGUGAAGCGACUUGCUCGUGGAGCUGAAAUCAGUCGAAGAUACCAGCUGGCUGCAACUGUUUAUUAAAAACACAGCACUGUGCAAACACGAAAGUGGACGUAUACGGUGUGACGCCUGCCCGGUGCCGGAAGGUUAAUUGAUGGGGUUAGCGGUAACGCGAAGCUCUUGAUCGAAGCCCCGGUAAACGGCGGCCGUAACUAUAACGGUCCUAAGGUAGCGAAAUUCCUUGUCGGGUAAGUUCCGACCUGCACGAAUGGCGUAAUGAUGGCCAGGCUGUCUCCACCCGAGACUCAGUGAAAUUGAACUCGCUGUGAAGAUGCAGUGUACCCGCGGCAAGACGGAAAGACCCCGUGAACCUUUACUAUAGCUUGACACUGAACAUUGAGCCUUGAUGUGUAGGAUAGGUGGGAGGCUUUGAAGUGUGGACGCCAGUCUGCAUGGAGCCGACCUUGAAAUACCACCCUUUAAUGUUUGAUGUUCUAACGUUGGCCCCUAAUCGGGGUUGCGGACAGUGUCUGGUGGGUAGUUUGACUGGGGCGGUCUCCUCCUAAAGAGUAACGGAGGAGCACGAAGGUUGGCUAAUCCUGGUCGGACAUCAGGAGGUUAGUGCAAUGGCAUAAGCCAGCUUGACUGCGAGCGUGACGGCGCGAGCAGGUGCGAAAGCAGGUCAUAGUGAUCCGGUGGUUCUGAAUGGAAGGGCCAUCGCUCAACGGAUAAAAGGUACUCCGGGGAUAACAGGCUGAUACCGCCCAAGAGUUCAUAUCGACGGCGGUGUUUGGCACCUCGAUGUCGGCUCAUCACAUCCUGGGGCUGAAGUAGGUCCCAAGGGUAUGGCUGUUCGCCAUUUAAAGUGGUACGCGAGCUGGGUUUAGAACGUCGUGAGACAGUUCGGUCCCUAUCUGCCGUGGGCGCUGGAGAACUGAGGGGGGCUGCUCCUAGUACGAGAGGACCGGAGUGGACGCAUCACUGGUGUUCGGGUUGUCAUGCCAAUGGCACUGCCCGGUAGCUAAAUGCGGAAGAGAUAAGUGCUGAAAGCAUCUAAGCACGAAACUUGCCCCGAGAUGAGUUCU
RNAcentral lists this ribosomal RNA (2774 nucleotides) under Escherichia coli. RNAcentral describes it as "bacterial LSU rRNA". It matches the Rfam family "Bacterial large subunit ribosomal RNA". The record is from RNAcentral. Lineage: Bacteria; Pseudomonadati; Pseudomonadota; Gammaproteobacteria; Enterobacterales; Enterobacteriaceae.